RNAcentral lists this ribosomal RNA (429 nucleotides) under Actinomycetes bacterium. RNAcentral's name for it is "Actinobacteria bacterium partial 16S ribosomal RNA". It matches the Rfam family "Bacterial small subunit ribosomal RNA", at positions 355 to 776 of the family's 1533-position model. The record is from RNAcentral. Lineage: Bacteria; Bacillati; Actinomycetota; Actinomycetes.
UAGGGAAUCUUCCGCAAUGGGCGAAAGCUUGACGGAGCAACGCCGCGUGAGUGAUGAAGGUCUUCGGAUCGUAAAACUCUGUUAUUAGGGAAGAACAAAUGUGUAAGUAACUAUGCACGUCUUGACGGUACCUAAUCAGAAAGCCACGGCUAACUACGUGCCAGCAGCCGCGGUAAUACGUAGGUGGCAAGCGUUAUCCGGAAUUAUUGGGCGUAAAGCGCGCGUAGGCGGUUUUUUAAGUCUGAUGUGAAGGCCCACGGCUCAACCGUGGAGGGUCAUUGGAAACUGGAAAACUUGAGUGCAGAAGAGGAAAGUGGAAUUCCAUGUGUAGCGGUGAAAUGCGCAGAGAUAUGGAGGAACACCAGUGGCGAAGGCGACUUUCUGGUCUGUAACUGACGCUGAUGUGCGAAAGCGUGGGGAUCAAACAGG